AAACCGCUGGUGGUUGUGCCGCGCGUGUGUGCGCGCCUCCUUACCCGUCCGCUUCUCCGGUCUCCCCUCGGCACGUGCACACACGCACAGGUGCCAGCACGCCGAGACACCGCAGCCGCAAGCUACACGGCGGAGGGUGAACGAAGAAGCAAAACAAAACAGGCGAGGGACAUUCAUGGACGGUGCCCUUUUCAUUGGCAUCCUCACCUUUUCUGAUACCGUGGCUGCCUGUGCUGCGACUGCAGCGGUCAAGCACGCAUCCGCAACGAAAGUUCUUGUGUGGCACCACCUCCUUGUAUUGUCUUCCAGUUAAACUGCUUAACGCCUUGUAAUCUCUGCCCCCUUCACCCGCCCCAUUUCACCUCACGCACUGCCCUUGGGGGCACGUAUCCUUGUUCUUUCUUUUGCGCUCUCUUCCUAUUACACACAUCUCUCUAUAUACAUCUAUAUCUGUAUCUAUAUCUGGAGGGAGGGGAGUGUAGAGGGAGAGAGAGGAAGAGAUACUCAGUAUAUCUGCGUCUUUUUCGGAGUUGGCGACAGUGUGCUCUUGCUGCAUCGCUGCGGGCUGGAUAUCUGUUCUUCUUCCUUUCUUCUGUUUGUUGUGCUCCUUUUCGCGCUCCGUGUGUUCGCGUGCUUUCUUUUCGUGCGUGUAUGCGUUUUUGUGUUUGUGUGUGUGUGCCACCGCGUCCGUCUUUUGAUUGCGGGUGACACGCGUACUCUCUCCUGCUCCGCCUCCCCCCCCCUCUCACUCGCUCGCUUGCUCUGUGUUUUACGACUGCGCUCCUACACCUUUCGUCUUCCUCAUCUUCGUCUUAUGUUGUUGGCGGUGCGCGCGAGGUUGCCAUCUUUGAUGGAUGUGUCGUUCUCUUCGGCUCUCGUGCUUGCUCAAAUUUGGUUCGGCUUGACGGGCAGGUGUUGCAAGCGUCACUAUCUUCUCCCUCGCUCCUCCUGCCUCUUCUCUGUUUCUCUCGUGUCAGCUGCCUUGGCCACCCUAGCUUCCGCACCAACAUUAUCGCGUGUACCAGCAUCGACGGCAGUGGCAGCAGGAGAGGCAGUCCCUGCGGUGGUGCUCACCCUCGCUCAGGCUGCUUCCUGCGGCUGCCCUUGCGCGUGUGCCUUCUCUUUCUCGAGUCUUGCGCACUCAAGGACGCCUUUUCUCACGACUUACCGUGUUGGGUUGGCUUUGUCGCAUCACGAUGGAGCCUCUUCCCCGGAACACGCCGUCGCUCUGCAGCUUCGAGUGCAGCUUUCCUCGGUCGCUGAUUCUCUUCCUACAGAGUGCGCCGCCAACCAUUGUGCUGAGCGCCUUUCAGGCUGACUGCGAGAGUCAGGGUGUGGCCUGGUGCAGCGCUGAGGCACAGAUGCUCGCUGUGGAAUGGUUUGUGCGGCACCCCGUCGUGAAGAAGUACCCGCCGCGUCGUCGAAUGGUGCGAGCCUUGCUCAAGGCGUACAUAAACUCGGUAGAGGAGCAGUACGCUGCCGACUACGCGCUGUCCUCCACGUCGAGCGAGGACCCAGUGCAGACGGAGUUGAUGGAGGAGUUUAUUCGGGUAAGCGUCUUCGGGGGGGCCAGUGAGCAGGGGUUUUGCUUCAAGACAUUCUACAACCCGUUUGCUAGUGCGCCAGACACCCCUGCCAUCACGAGCGCGCCUGCCACCUCAACACCGCCUUCUGGCCCGUCGAUGCCACUGUCUGCGAUUCCGACGCCGUCACAGGUGCACUCCGUCCCCCCCGGCUCCUCACCGCGUGCCUCGUUGUCUCCUGAGAUGCACACGGGCAGCUCUCAGCGGUCUCUAAACUCCCACAGCGAACCCACACACACCCUUUCCCCCCAUGGCAUGCCGCCGUGCAUUCUGGUCAACGACGACUCGAAGGUGCUUCUGCCCAUGGUGUCCGUACGCUCUCCACCCACAUCGCCGUCGCAGCGGUCGCCGAGGCACCACCAGCACCAGCAGCAGCGUCAGCAGGUGCCGCUGCCGCCACAUCCACCAGCACCAACCCCAGCCUCUGCCGCCGCCGCUGCUGCUGCUGUGCGGCCGCUUGAUCAGUUCAGCAGCAUCCGUGUCUCCUGUGAGCAGUUCUCCAACGUGGGCCUCUCGCUCUGGCCAGCCGCCUUUGUCAUGAUUCAGCUGCUCGCGCAGGAGCUGAAAGGGCAGACGCACAUGCUGGCGGACGUUCUCGGCCUCCCGCGCGCGACGAACAGUACAUCGAACAGCAGUGCAUCCCCGGCGCCACUGCUGGCGACAUCAAACGGGCUGCACCCGCACACCAUGCCGACCCCACUGUCACUGGGCCCUACGGCUAGCUGUAGCCUGCGCAGCAGCAAUGACGGCAGUGCCGGCAGCAGUAGUGGUACAAAUGUGUGCAGCAGUCCGUUGCGCAUCCUGGAGCUUGGCGCGGGGGUCGGCCUCACGCCGGUGUACCUGCACCAUAUGAAGGAGUACCAGCAGCACGUCGCGUCCUUCCUCGCCACGGAUUACCAGGAGUCCAUCGUUGACAACAUGCGUUUCAACAUGACCGAAAACGGCAUCCGCCUUGUCUCCGAGUCGCUGGCUGCCAAGCGUGGGCUGGAGAGGGGUCCGACGCCGCCGCUUCAUCGCGCGGCGUUGCUCGACUGGCUGAACCACGCCGAUAACGAGGAAAUGUUCAUGAAGGACGAGGUGGACGUGACCCUCGUGGCCGACUGUAUCUACGACACCGACGUCAUUCCUGCACUGGUCGACACAAUUCACCUGGCUCUCACCGCGCGCAGCACGGCGCCGUACACGUCGGGCACCCUAAAAAAAAAGCGUUGCUGCAUCGUUGUGCAGACUCACCGGCAGGAUACAACCAUGCAGAAGUUUUUUUCCUCUGUACGCACGUUUGGGCAAGUGCGCAGCUACAACCUUGUCCGCCAAGUGGUCGGGUCGUUGCGUAUCAGCGAAGACCACAGCGGCGACGACGGCGGCUGUGUUCCACUCGGUGGUUGGGACCGGCAGGCGCAGUUACUCAACCCCGACCAGGUUGUCUGCGCGUUGAUGCCGGAUGUCAUCCUUGAGGACGGGUCUAUGCGCUCUGCUAGCGGGCAGUGGCAUGACAGCGGCGCGAAUGAGACGGCGACGGCGGCUGAAGCACUGCUCGCGGAUGGGAUGAUUGGACCUUUCUACACCUCGAUGGUGGGGCUGAUUGGCGUGCACGUGAUUACCUUGAAGGCAGCCAAAGUGGCCAGGUAGAAGGGGUUGGCGCGCUUUUUAAGCCACGCCGUUCUCGGAUGGACGGAGGAAGGGAAAGCUGUGGGGUACGUGUGUGUGUGUGGUGAGGGGGCGAUGGUGGCGGAGGGUCCAGGGAGACGCGAUGCCCAUCAGCUCUCAGGCAUAUGCGCUUGGGCUCGAGUAGCGUUUUGGCGCAGCUGUGCGCACUCCUCUAUUGUACUGAGGCAGCGCUGGUACGACAGGUCGUUCUCGCCCACUCUUGCCUUCGUUUUGAGCACGCACUGAUCAAUCACUCAUUUUGUGUUUGGCAUUAAGCGCACCGCAUCAAAAGAAAAGUAAGAGUAGGCCAUAAUCCGUGCAGACGUGCCUAGAGGUGAAACGACGCGGUAGCCAAGCGCGCAUGCACCAUCACAAGUGCAUAUCCGAG
This 3618-nucleotide unclassified non-coding RNA is filed under the name Leishmania donovani. RNAcentral describes it as "gene:LdHU3.28.2600(CDS-product:Putative_methyltra nsferase_putative)". Lineage: Eukaryota; Euglenozoa; Kinetoplastea; Trypanosomatida; Trypanosomatidae. The record is from RNAcentral.